GAUGAACGCUGGCGGCGUGCCUAAUACAUGCAAGUCGAGCGAACAGACGAGGAGCUUGCUCCUCUGACGUUAGCGGCGGACGGGUGAGUAACACGUGGAUAACCUACCUAUAAGACUGGGAUAACUUCGGGAAACCGGAGCUAAUACCGGAUAAUAUAUUGAACCGCAUGGUUCAAUAGUGAAAGACGGUUUUGCUGUCACUUAUAGAUGGAUCCGCGCCGCAUUAGCUAGUUGGUAAGGUAACGGCUUACCAAGGCAACGAUGCGUAGCCGACCUGAGAGGGGGAUCGGCCCAAUGGGAAAUGAACCGCGGGCCAGGCCCCGAGGGGGGGCAGAAGGAGGGAACGUGCCGAAAGGGGGGAAAGCCUGCCGGAGCAACGCGGGGUGGGGGAGGAAGGGCUCGGGAGCGUAAAACUUUUUUAUGGGGAAAAAAAAAAUGUGAAAGUAACUAUGCCGGUUUUGACGGUACCAAACCAGAAAGCCACGGCUAACUCGGG
This 496-nucleotide ribosomal RNA is filed under the name uncultured bacterium. RNAcentral describes it as "partial 16S ribosomal RNA". It matches the Rfam family "Bacterial small subunit ribosomal RNA", at positions 28 to 506 of the family's 1533-position model. The record is from RNAcentral.